CUGAACCAAGGUAGAAGCCUCGAUUCCACUACAUGAGGCAGAGAGCAGACAAUCGUAACAAAGAAAAUGCUCGCCUCAGACGUCACAGCUUUCAUAUAUCCUCUAUGACGGGAGCACAGAUUUGGGUGCAAACAUUCAGGGACCUAGAGCGAUGCAUUUCAGAGCUCCAUGCAUCAGUUUCUCUAUCUGCAAAAUGGACAGAAGAGCAGGAUUGAGGUCGCCAGCAGCCGCCAGGCGGGCAGAAGGAGGUGUCGCCCGCGCAGGAGGGAUGCAGGAAAAGAGUUGAAGCUAUGUGAACUUGGGCAUGUCCCCUCUCUAUCUGGGCUGGAUUUUCACAUAAAACAGGUCUGCGAGAGGGACAGGCCACUCCACUGGGGCCUUGGGAUGGCUCCCUACACAACCACCACUAAGCCAUGCUGCACUUUUGUGACAAUGAGGGUGGCACUUAGUGGCCCCUUCUUAGGGCCACCUCCCAUCAGCCAGGAGCAUUUGUGCUGUGUGGAAAUUGUACAGCUGUGUAAGACAGCCUUGUACCCAUGCCCAGGACUCUCCCUGUGUUCCUGGCCUCCUCCUGCUCUGGUCAGUCUGGACUCCUCUAUCGGACACAUGGGGCCAUCAUGAAUCUCCACAAGACGUUCGGACCUCCCACUGGCCACAGUGGGCCUUGGUCUAUAAUCCAGGCCUCAGUCUCCCCCUAUUCUCUUGGGCUGCGAAGUCUCUGCCAGCUCUAAGACCUUCCCUCCUCCAUUUCCACGCCUCUGAAUGUGAAGUCGCCAAGAAACAAAGAGAAAGACAAAGGGACAGGUUAGCCACCCCACAGCGCUCCCAAGUUUACUGAGGUGGCACCAAAGCAGGCACUUCCCCUUACCCCGAGCCCACUCUGUGCCAUAGCUAGCAAGCAGCUUCUGCCCUCUUGGACUCCUGCUUUGAGGCCCACAUGCCCAAUCCCAAGUCCCCAAGGAGGAGGCUCCUCACUACUGCCCUACCCCUUCACCAGGGUGCCAGGUCCAUACAAGCUGCUGCCCUCUGGCUGGACAGACAGGGAUGGACCACCUCCCCACUCCAAGCUGUAGCUCCUCUGCUUCCCCAGUGGCCCUUGGAAGCAACAGAGGUGCUGUACCCAUUUUCCAGGUAUGGGCACUGAGGCUCAGAGAGAAGUCACUUCUCGUCUUGUCACAGGGCAAGGGGCCAAGUCAGGGACCACUAGGAGAUGCUUUCUUUGCUUUAUUGGCCAUCUGGGAAAAGAGAAAGCAAGAAAGUGUAGAAUGCAGCUCUCAAACAAAGGGCUUUGUUUUGACAUUUGCAUCCUAACAACAGUCCUCAAAGGCAGAAGGGCCUUGAACAAUCAUGUUUCCAAGAUGUUCCAGGCCUGUCUAUGCAGUAGGCUUGCAUUGUGGCCCAAUAAUUGGUACAUGGUUUUGUUGUUUGUUUGUUUUGCAGUACCAGAGACUGGACGCAGGUCUUUUGCACUUAGCUCCCCGGUCUUUUUAUUUUGAGACAGGGUUUAGCUAAGAUGCUAAGUUGCCCAGGCUGGGCUAGAACUGGAGAUCCUCCUGCCUCAGUCUUGCAGAGUGCUGGAAUUACAGGCAUGUACCACCACACAUGGCUGCAAUUGGUGCUUUUUAACAAGGGAAGUUUGGUGGGGGACCCAGGUUAGAACUGCUCAGCUCCAUUUCACAAAUAAGAAAAAGGAUCAGAUAAAGGGACAGACCCACCUUCAGCAGUCACUAGGUCCUGUCUAAUUGAAGGUGUUCAAGAGCACCUGUGUUACUGCCUCUGAAACUCACAGAGCUCAAUUGCUUUCUCUGUACUCAGAAUAAUCCUACCCUAAUCCCUCAGAGCACUGUUGAAAUUAAAUACAACUGCAUACCGGAAGCCCUUAGCUCAGUGCCAAGCACAUAGCAAGGGCUCACCACCUGGGUGCUUUUAUAAUAGUUUUUCCAGCAGUAGUGUUAGUGUUUACCAUUCACUUUGAUUUCUCCAGGUGAUUAAGUGGCCAGACUCUGGCCCUGGACCUGACAGCCUCGGAUUUCAGCUUCCUGUGGGGACAUGAAAACCAAAAAAGUGGACAUGUUUGGUACCACUGUUCUGAAUUUUAAAAUCUUUUUUUUUUUUUUUUUUGAUACCGGGGAUCGAAUUCGAGUCCUUACACUUGCACAGCAGGCAGAAAAACCACUGAGAUGGUGGAACCUAGUUUCCUGAAGACUCUGGGUGCUGACUGGACUCACUGGGGCUGGAUUCCUGCCUGACUGUGCUUCUGUUAUUUCAUCUGAACAGCAGGAUAAGCUCCCGAGUGGUGCAGUGACAGAGGGCAACCCUCUGUGCUCAACUCUCACCUCCGUCUGUGCUUGCACCGGUCCUCUGUGCCCUGGAGGCUGAGCACCAAUGCUACCUCCUCCCAGAAGCCUGCCUGGAUUCUCCCCAUUCCCCAGCCAUUCUCUUCCGUGCACCCUCAGCACUUGUCAUCUGUCAUAAGUCAUCCUCCUGAUGUACAUGAGAAUCCCUCCAUUUCCACAGACUCUGACUUCACCUGCCUCACUCCAAGGCCUCACCAAACAAGUCUGGCCCAGUAUUGUGUAGAAGUGGUUUGAUCUCACUGGUUCACCUUCUAGGUAACCUGCCCCAAUGUGCAGCCUGCUCGGGUAUCUAAGCCACAUUACAGCUUUAAAUGGCUUUGUUAUUUAGGAAAUAGAUACCAAUGUGUUUCAUCAGUCUUGUGCUUCUAUUCUCUGUACAUUUUAACCUCUCUGAAAUGGGGCUAUAUGUUCUGAUGAAUGGGCAGUGGGUAUUCUUUCUUAAUGAUGUGUGAAAUGACACUGCCUUCCAUCAGUGCUACCUUAGAUCUGGUGAAGAAAGGUAUAAUCCCAUUUGAUUGCUGAGAAAGUUUAGGAGCAUGAGUUUGAGCCACUUCCCAAGGCACAUGGCCAGCAUGUGAAAGAACAAAGCUUUAAACUCAGGCAGUGAGGUGGGAUUUGGAAGCCCAGGUCUUUGUGCCAGGCACUCUCAGAGAUGUUCCCAGUGACCCCAGCCUGCUGGUGUUCACAUCUUUGUGUGACCCCCUCCCCUUGAGGCUAGGCUGCACCUAAUGACUGGCUGCUCCGAAGAAAUAGAAUACAGCAGAAAUGAUGGGCUGUCACUUCCGAGAUUAAGUCCCUGGGGAUUCUGGCUUCUGUCUUGUUUCCUCUCUCUGGCCUGCUCUCUUGCUCACUCUGAUUGAAGACAGCUGCCAUGCUGUAAACUACGCUUUGGAGAGGUUGAAGGAGCAACAGCCAACUCAGCCCAGUCCAGCAAGCUGAGGGUAGGGGAAUUCUGUUACGAAUGGCAAGGGUGAGCUUGGAAGCCCAUCCGCCUGCAGCAGGACCUGGAAAAGGCCUUUGUGGUAGCCUGGAGAGACUCUAAGCCAGAGUCCUGCUAAGCCAUGUCUGAUUCUGGUCCCACAGAAACUGAAAUAAUAAACGUGUACUUGCCUAA
Molecule: non-coding RNA, 3471 nt
Organism: Heterocephalus glaber (naked mole-rat)
Lineage: Eukaryota; Metazoa; Chordata; Mammalia; Rodentia; Bathyergidae
Source: RefSeq, a predicted model, not a curated record